Molecule: ribosomal RNA, 68 nt
Filed under: Sistotrema brinkmannii
Lineage: Eukaryota; Fungi; Basidiomycota; Agaricomycetes; Cantharellales; Hydnaceae
Description: partial 28S ribosomal RNA
Source: RNAcentral
AUCAUUUCAUGAUAUUUUUCAACUUUGACCUCGAAUCAGGCGGGACUACCCGCUGAACUUAAGCAUAU